UUUUGUGCAUAUUUUUGGUCAUUGCAUGGCAUAGGCAAUUUGAGGCAUUUGAUUAUUGAGUUGAUGCUGGUACUUUUGAGGACAUUUUGGGGAAUGUUUGAAGGUGUAAUGUGUAGAAGGAUGGGUUCUUUUGGUCAUUUGGUUAGGUUUUGAAUUUGGCCUUUGCAUUAGGGUUUUGUUGUGUUGAGUUUUGUAUUAGGGUUUUGUUGUGUUAAAAUAAUAAAAUAUCAAUCAGAGUAAUUAUGCCCUGAAGGGUGUC
This 259-nucleotide long non-coding RNA is filed under the name Lathyrus oleraceus (garden pea). RNAcentral describes it as "Pisum sativum (pea) long non-coding RNA (PSAT_LNC003770)". The record is from RNAcentral. Lineage: Eukaryota; Viridiplantae; Streptophyta; Magnoliopsida; Fabales; Fabaceae.